AGCCACGCUCUGGCUUUCCUGUGCGCCUGGGCACCAGAGCCUUGUGACUGCCAUGCCUCAUCCGCCAGACUCUUGAGUAUCUCUUGGGUCCGGGCGUGGGUGUGUUUCCCUGUUUGGUGUCUGCAAUGGCAGGCGAGGAGCCCCUCAGCACCGUGGGCCUCAUCCUGGGCGUCUUCCUCUCCCUCCUGGUCCUGGGCAUCUCCGGCUGCGCCUUUGCCAGGUGGUGCCGGGAAGGGCGCUGCUGGCCACACAGCACCAGCUUCGUCUUCAACCUUUACCCCACCCG
Anolis carolinensis (green anole) is the source of this 286-nucleotide long non-coding RNA. RefSeq lists it as uncharacterized. NCBI's taxonomy places the organism in Eukaryota, Metazoa, Chordata, Lepidosauria, Squamata, Anolidae. The transcript has 3 exons. The record is from RefSeq and is a predicted model, not a curated record.